UACGUAGGGGGCAAGCGUUGUCCGGAUUCAUUGGGCGUAAAGAGCGUGUAGGCGGCCAGGUAGGUCGGUUGUGAAAACUGGAGGCUCAACCUUCAGAGGUCGACCGAAACCAUCUGGCUAGAGUCCGGGAGAGGAGAGUGGAAUUCCUGGUGUAGCGGUGAAAUGCGUAGAUAUCAGGAGGAACACCGGUGGUGUAGACGGCUUUCUGGACCGACACUGACGCUGAGACACGAAAGCGUGGGUAGCAAACAGG
RNAcentral lists this ribosomal RNA (253 nucleotides) under uncultured bacterium. RNAcentral describes it as "partial 16S ribosomal RNA". It matches the Rfam family "Bacterial small subunit ribosomal RNA", at positions 524 to 776 of the family's 1533-position model. The record is from RNAcentral.